Long non-coding RNA from Engraulis encrasicolus (European anchovy), 275 nucleotides. RefSeq lists it as uncharacterized. The record is from RefSeq and is a predicted model, not a curated record. Lineage: Eukaryota; Metazoa; Chordata; Actinopteri; Clupeiformes; Engraulidae. The transcript has 4 exons.
CGGAGACUCAUUCUUUCAGCAAGGUGACCAAAAUCUGUUUCGCUCUGCAGCACUUGUCCCGGAGGCUUUGUAGACAGAGUGACUGAACGAAAACCUAAAUGAGAAAUAGGAACAACAUGUUUAGAAGAUGAAGUGUGGAAGCCUCGGCAGCUUCAGUAUGCUGUGUACCUCAUCUUGAACUCUUUCACAUGGUGAUUCCUACACAUAAUUGCACACUGUAUGUGUUUAGCUAUCCUAUCUUACAAAGACUUAUGCCAACACUGUAUCUGCCUUUC